RNAcentral lists this microRNA precursor (95 nucleotides) under Daphnia pulex (common water flea). RNAcentral's name for it is "Dpu-Mir-282_pre stem-loop". Lineage: Eukaryota; Metazoa; Arthropoda; Branchiopoda; Diplostraca; Daphniidae. The record is from RNAcentral.
UAGCCUCUCCUAGGCUUUGUCUUGUGAACGACGGAAUUUUUAUAUUUUCGUCGGGAAAAACUGAAAUUCUAGACAACGUCUCGGAGAGCGCUUCG